GACGAACGCUGGCGGCGUGCUUAACACAUGCAAGUCGAACGGAAAGGCCCUGCUUUUGUGGGGUGCUCGAGUGGCGAACGGGUGAGUAACACGUGAGUAACCUGCCCUUGACUUUGGGAUAACUUCAGGAAACUGGGGCUAAUACCGGAUAGGAGCUCCUGCUGCAUGGUGGGGGUUGGAAAGUUUCGGCGGUUGGGGAUGGACUCGCGGCUUAUCAGCUUGUUGGUGGGGUAGUGGCUUACCAAGGCUUUGACGGGUAGCCGGCCUGAGAGGGUGACCGGCCACAUUGGGACUGAGUUACGGCCCAGACUCCUACGGGAGGCAGCAGUGGGGAAUAUUGCACAAUGGGCGGAAGCCUGAUGCAGCAACGCCGCGUGCGGGAUGACGGCCUUCGGGUUGUAAACCGCUUUCGCCUGUGACGAAGCGUGAGUGACGGUAAUGGGUAAAAAAGCACCGGCUAACUACGUG
RNAcentral lists this ribosomal RNA (468 nucleotides) under uncultured bacterium. RNAcentral's name for it is "partial 16S ribosomal RNA". It matches the Rfam family "Bacterial small subunit ribosomal RNA", at positions 28 to 507 of the family's 1533-position model. The record is from RNAcentral.